This 460-nucleotide ribosomal RNA is filed under the name uncultured bacterium. Its description in RNAcentral is "partial 16S ribosomal RNA". It matches the Rfam family "Bacterial small subunit ribosomal RNA", at positions 338 to 795 of the family's 1533-position model. The record is from RNAcentral.
CCUACGGGAGUCUGCAGUGAGGAAUAUUGGUCAAUGGACGAGAGUCUGAACCAGCCAAGUAGCGUGAAGGAUGACUGCCCUAUGGGUUGUAAACUUCUUUUAUAUGGGAAUAAAACGUUCCACGUGUGGGAUUUUGUAUGUACCAUAUGAAUAAGGAUCGGCUAACUCCGUGCCAGCAGCCGGGGUAAUACGGAGGAUCCGAGCUUUAUCCGGAUUUAUUGGGUUUAAAGGGAGCGUAGGUGGAUUGUUAAGUCAGUUGUGAAAGUUUGCGGCUCAACCGUAAAAUUGCAGUUGAAACUGGCAGUCUUGAGUACAGUAGAGGUGGGCGGAAUUCGUGGUGUAGCGGUGAAAUGCUUAGAUAUCACGAAGAACUCCGAUUGCGAAGGCAGUUCACUGGACUGCAACUGACACUGAGGCUCGAAAGUGUGGGUAUCAAACAGGAUUAGAUACCCGGGUAGUC